CGUUCCUAAGAUUGCUGUUGGCAGGGGAAGCCUCAGAUGCAGCAGGCUUACCACGGAGAAAGACACGACUGAUUUCUUUUGAGCUCUCUGGGCCAUUUUGAAGAAAAAACUGUGUACUUCUGCAUGCCAACCCUAAGCUACAUAAUAGUGCGAGUACACAGGCCCCUUUGGCCAACAGCUCCUCAACCACCACCUUCAAGCCAUUUCGUGCAGCAACGUGGAGAGGUCUGAAAGAAGACAGCAGCCAACGUCAACUGGGAUACAGAUUUGUGUGAGAACGUGUCAUUGUGGGGAGCUGCAUUGCCAAAAGGAAGAAAAUGCUUAAGAAAAUACUUAAUAAAUAUAAUAUAUAUAAAUAUAAAGUAUAUUUAUAUAUAAAUAUAAAAUAAAUACUUAAGAAAAUACGCGCAUAUUACUUUUUUAAAAUAAAAAUAUUUGUCGACCAGA
Mustela lutreola (European mink) is the source of this 447-nucleotide long non-coding RNA. RefSeq lists it as uncharacterized. The record is from RefSeq and is a predicted model, not a curated record. The transcript is spliced from 2 exons. Lineage: Eukaryota; Metazoa; Chordata; Mammalia; Carnivora; Mustelidae.